This 253-nucleotide ribosomal RNA is filed under the name uncultured bacterium. RNAcentral's name for it is "partial 16S ribosomal RNA". It matches the Rfam family "Bacterial small subunit ribosomal RNA", at positions 524 to 776 of the family's 1533-position model. The record is from RNAcentral.
UACAGAGGUCUCAAGCGUUGUUCGGAUUCAUUGGGCGUAAAGGGUGUGUAGGUGGCGCGCUAAGUCGGGUGUGAAAUUUCGGAGCUUAACUCCGAAACUGCAUUCGAUACUGGCGUGCUUGAGGACUGGAGAGGAGACUGGAAUUCAUGGUGUAGCAGUGAAAUGCGUAGAGAUCAUGAGGAAGACCAGUGGCGAAGGCGGGUCUCUGGGCCGACACUGACGCUGAUGCGCGAAAGCCAGGGGAGCGAACGGG